GAGCUAGAGCUCGAUUUGCAGAAGGAGAUGAACUAGGGCUCGGGCUCCACCGACGCUUCGAAUCGAGAGAGAAGAGAUCCACUCUCGUCGGGUUACAGCAGCAGCGACGUCGCGGAGGGAGGCGGCGGCCGCUCGCCGGCGACGGCUGGAACGGCCAGAAUACAGCGCGACGGCAGCUACACAGGGAGCAGCAACAGAUCGAUUGAGAGAAGAGGAAGGAAGGAGGGCGCAGGGUUGGGCUCGACGGCAGCCAGCGCCGGAUUCCGGAGCCACGGCGGCGGAACUCCUCGAUGACGGCUGGAACGGGCGAGAGAGGGAGAGGAUCGAUGGAGAGAAGGGGGAGGAUUCUGGAUUGAGAAAUGAGAGAGAGAGAAACCGAGUUUGAGGAAGAAGUGGUUUUGGGCCUGGUUCAGUUGGGCCGGAUACUAUUUCUUUGGGCCAUUUUUCUUUUAUUCUAUGUGGGCCGAAUUUCUUUAAUUUUCUUGGGCCUGUUUGAGUUUUGUUGGGUCAAUUAUGUUGGACUCCUAUAAUUAUUUAAAAUGGGCUUCAAAUUCAUAUAAUUGGGCACCUAUUAUUUAUUUAUUUAGGCCCAAUAAGAUUUAUUAAUUUAGGC
This 613-nucleotide long non-coding RNA is filed under the name Salvia miltiorrhiza (redroot sage). Its description in RNAcentral is "long non-coding RNA (SMIL_LNC000354)". The record is from RNAcentral. Lineage: Eukaryota; Viridiplantae; Streptophyta; Magnoliopsida; Lamiales; Lamiaceae.